This 213-nucleotide ribosomal RNA is filed under the name Triticum aestivum (bread wheat). RNAcentral describes it as "partial small subunit ribosomal RNA". Lineage: Eukaryota; Viridiplantae; Streptophyta; Magnoliopsida; Poales; Poaceae. The record is from RNAcentral.
AUGGCCGUGCGCAACCUCGCCGCGGCAGAGGCCGUGCGCCAGGUCGUCCUUGCCGAGACCCCCGUCGCCAGCCUCAACCUGAUAGAGCUGGACCUCUCCCCACUGACCUCCAUCCGCAACUUCGCCGCCAACUUCGCCGACAGGGGCCUACCGCUGAACAUCCUCAUGUGCGUACGCCCUACCCCUUUCGUUCAUUCAUUCAGGUUCAGUUAG